RNAcentral lists this ribosomal RNA (425 nucleotides) under uncultured Stenotrophomonas sp. Its description in RNAcentral is "bacterial SSU rRNA". It matches the Rfam family "Bacterial small subunit ribosomal RNA", at positions 354 to 771 of the family's 1533-position model. The record is from RNAcentral. Lineage: Bacteria; Pseudomonadati; Pseudomonadota; Gammaproteobacteria; Lysobacterales; Lysobacteraceae.
GUGGGGAAUAUUGGACAAUGGGCGCAAGCCUGAUCCAGCCAUACCGCGUGGGUGAAGAAGGCCUUCGGGUUGUAAAGCCCUUUUGUUGGGAAAGAAAUCCAGCCGGCUAAUACCUGGUUGGGAUGACGGUACCCAAAGAAUAAGCACCGGCUAACUUCGUGCCAGCAGCCGCGGUAAUACGAAGGGUGCAAGCGUUACUCGGAAUUACUGGGCGUAAAGCGUGCGUAGGUGGUCGUUUAAGUCCGUUGUGAAAGCCCUGGGCUCAACCUGGGAACUGCAGUGGAUACUGGGCGACUAGAGUGUGGUAGAGGGUAGCGGAAUUCCUGGUGUAGCAGUGAAAUGCGUAGAGAUCAGGAGGAACAUCCAUGGCGAAGGCAGCUACCUGGACCAACACUGACACUGAGGCACGAAAGCGUGGGGAGCAA